RNAcentral lists this ribosomal RNA (473 nucleotides) under uncultured bacterium. RNAcentral describes it as "partial 16S ribosomal RNA". It matches the Rfam family "Bacterial small subunit ribosomal RNA", at positions 28 to 523 of the family's 1533-position model. The record is from RNAcentral.
GAUGAACGCUGGCGGCGUGCUUCAUACAUGCAAGUCGAACGAGAAAUCACCUUCGGGUGACGUAAAGUGGCGGACGGGUGAGUAAUAUGUAGGAAAUCUGCCUUUGGGAAGGGGACAACAGUUGGAAACGACUGCUAAUACCCUAUAUGAGCUUAGUUGAAAUACUAAUCUUGAAAGUUCCGGCGCGCAAAGAUGAGCCUGCACCUGAUUAGCUAGUUGGUGGUGUAAUGGACUACCAAGGCGACGAUCAGUAGCUGGUUUGAGAGAAUGAUCAGCCACACUGGGACUGAGACACGGCCCAGACUCCUACGGGAGGCAGCAGUGGGGAAUAUUGGACAAUGGGCGCAAGCCUGAUCCAGCCAUGCCGCGUGAGUGAAGAAGGCCUUCGGGUUGUAAAGCUCUUUCAGACGUGACGAUGAUGACGGUAGCGUCAGAAGAAGCCCCGGCUAACUUCGUGCCAGCCGCCGCAGUAA